GGGAUGAUGGGGACACUGUUGGGACCGCCUACGUGCUAAAGGAGGAGGAAGGAAUGGGCAACGGUAGGUCAGCAUGCCCCGAAUUAUCCGGGCUACACGCGGGCUACAAUGGUCAGGACAAUGGGUAUCGACACCGAGAGGUGGAGGCAAUACUCCUAAACCUGUCCUUAGUUCGGAUUGUGGGCUGCAACUCGCCCACAUGAAGCUGGAAUCCGUAGUAAUCGCGUUUCAAAAUAGCGCGGUGAAUAUGUCCCUGGCUCCUU
RNAcentral lists this ribosomal RNA (263 nucleotides) under uncultured Methanolinea sp. RNAcentral's name for it is "partial 16S ribosomal RNA". It matches the Rfam family "Archaeal small subunit ribosomal RNA", at positions 1081 to 1338 of the family's 1478-position model. The record is from RNAcentral. Lineage: Archaea; Methanobacteriati; Methanobacteriota; Methanomicrobia; Methanomicrobiales; Methanoregulaceae.